Molecule: unclassified non-coding RNA, 337 nt
Filed under: soil metagenome
Description: partial contains 5.8S ribosomal RNA, internal transcribed spacer 2, and large subunit ribosomal RNA
Rfam family: 5.8S ribosomal RNA (bases 1-120)
Source: RNAcentral
GAUGAAGAACGUAGCGAAAUGCGAUAAGUAGUGUGAAUUGCAGAAUUCAGUGAAUCAUCGAAUCUUUGAACGCAUAUUGCGCCCCAUGGUAUUCCGUGGGGCAUGCCUGUUCGAGCGUCAUUUACCCCCUCAAGCUCCGCUUGGUGUUGGGCGUCUGUCCCGCUUCGCGCGCGGACUCGCCCCAAAGGUAUUGGCAGCGGUCGUGCCAGCUUCUCGCGCAGCACAUUGCGCUUCUCGAGGCACCGGUGGGCCCGCGUCCAUCAAGCUCACCCCCCCAGUUUGACCUCGGAUCAGGUAGGGAUACCCGCUGAACUUAAGCAUAUCAAUAAGCGGAGGA